Molecule: ribosomal RNA, 332 nt
Filed under: uncultured bacterium
Lineage: Bacteria
Description: bacterial SSU rRNA
Rfam family: Bacterial small subunit ribosomal RNA
Source: RNAcentral
CGUGCAGGCGGCCUGGUAAGUCGGGCGUGAAAUCUCUCGGCUCAACCGGGAGGGGUCGUCCGAAACUACUAGGCUUGAGGGCAGUAGAGGGAGGUGGAAUUCCCGGUGUAGUGGUGAAAUGCGUAGAGAUCGGGAGGAACACCAGUGGCGAAGGCGGCCUCCUAGGCUGUCCCUGACGCUCAGACGCGAAAGCUAGGGGAGCGAACGGGAUUAGAAACCCCGGUAGUCCUAGCUGUAAACGAUGCAGACUAGGUGUUGGCAGCUUAAACUCUGCCAGUGCCGUAGCCAACGCGUGAAGUCUGCCGCCUGGGGACUACGGCCGCAAGGCUAAA